UUGCUUCCGCAGCACAUAUUACUAAAAUUGGAACAACCCAGAGAAGAUUAACAUGGCCCCUGCUCAAAGACCACAUGCAAAUUUGUGAAGCAUCUCCCUUUUUU
Onychomys torridus (southern grasshopper mouse) is the source of this 104-nucleotide small nuclear RNA. The record is from RefSeq and is a predicted model, not a curated record. Lineage: Eukaryota; Metazoa; Chordata; Mammalia; Rodentia; Cricetidae.